This 468-nucleotide ribosomal RNA is filed under the name uncultured bacterium. RNAcentral describes it as "partial 16S ribosomal RNA". It matches the Rfam family "Bacterial small subunit ribosomal RNA", at positions 28 to 507 of the family's 1533-position model. The record is from RNAcentral.
GACGAACGCUGGCGGCGUGCUUAACACAUGCCAGUCGAACGGAAAGGCCCUGCUUUUGUGGGGUGCUCGAGUGGCGAACGGGUGAGUAACACGUGAGUAACCUGCCCUUGACUUUGGGAUAACUUCAGGAAACUGGGGCUAAUACCGGAUAGGAGCUCCUGCUGCAUGGUGGGGGUUGGAAAGUUUCGGCGGUUGGGGAUGGACUCGCGGCUUAUCAGCUUGUUGGUGGGGUAGUGGCUUACCAAGGCUUUGACGGGUAGCCGGCCUGAGAGGGUGACCGGCGAACUUGGGACUGAGAUACGGCCCAGACUCGUACGGGAGGCAGCAGUGGGGAAUAUUGCACAAUGGGCGGAAGCCUGAUGCAGCAACGCCGCGUGCGGGAUGACGGCCUUCGGGUUGUAAACCGCUUUCGCCUGUGACGAAGCGUGAGUGACGGUAAUGGGUAAAGAAGCACCGGCUAACUACGUG